RNAcentral lists this ribosomal RNA (1616 nucleotides) under Podoscypha involuta. Its description in RNAcentral is "eukaryotic LSU rRNA". The stretch from base 459 to 1616 matches the Rfam family "Eukaryotic large subunit ribosomal RNA", at positions 1 to 1157 of the family's 3401-position model. Lineage: Eukaryota; Fungi; Basidiomycota; Agaricomycetes; Polyporales; Podoscyphaceae. The record is from RNAcentral.
GUAUAUUGCAAUUUUCNACAGUCGCUGUUGGGUUGUACUGGUCUGAACUCCCACUUCAGGCAUGUGCACGCUCCGGUGAUUCUCCAAAAUUCUUACACCCUUAUGUGCACCUCACACACGAAAACCAGGNCUGGGAAUGUGUUUUCUCUCUCUCCAAUGUGGGGCGGGAAAGCGCGNGCGAAGGUCUGGCUUUUUGUGUUUUUAUAGCUACACACUUUUAGUACAUGAAUGUUCUUAUGUCGACUGUAGUUGCUUCAUUGCAACGCAGACACANAAAAUAUUAUNGAAUACUACAACNCAGCCANACNGGCAUGAUCNUUGAAAUGCGAUNAGUAAUGUGAAUUGCAGAAUCCAGUGAAUCAUCGAAUCUUUGAACGCACCUUGCGCUCCUUGGUAUUCCGAGGAGCAUGCCUGUUUGAGUGUCAUGGUAUUCUCANUCUCACCCCCUUUUCCUGUCGUGGUCUCAAUCUUUUUGAGGCAUGCGNGUGAGGUCUUUUGGGGNNGAGNAGGAANAUGGNUUCCCCUAGUAACUGCGAGUGAAGCGGGAAAAGCUCAAAUUUAAAAUCUGGCGGCACCUUGCUGUCCGAGUUGUAGUCUGGAGAAGCGUUUUCUGUGCUGGACCGUGUACAAGUCUCUUGGAAUAGAGCGUCAUAGAGGGUGAGAAUCCCGUCUUUGACACGGACUACCAGUGCUUUGUGAUGCGCUCUCAAAGAGUCGAGUUGUUUGGGAAUGCAGCUCAAAAUGGGUGGUAAAUUCCAUCUAAAGCUAAAUAUUGGCGAGAGACCGAUAGCGAACAAGUACCGUGAGGGAAAGAUGAAAAGCACUUUGGAAAGAGAGUUAAACAGUACGUGAAAUUGCUGAAAGGGAAACGCUUGAAGUCAGUCACGUUGGUCAGAACUCAGCCUGGCUCUUUUGCUUGGUGCACUUUCUGAUCAACGGGCCAGCAUCAAUUUUGAUCAUUGGAGAAAUUCUCUGGGAAUGUGGCUCUCUCGAGAGUGUUAUAGCCUGGGGUUGUAUACAGUGAUUGGGAUUGAGGAACUCAGCACGCCUUCAUGGUCGGGGUUCGCCCACGCUCGUGCUUAGGAUGCUGGCGUAAUGGCUUUAAACGACCCGUCUUGAAACACGGACCAAGGAGUCUAACAUGCCUGCGAGUGUUUGGGUGGAAAACCCGAGCGCGCAAUGAAAGUGAAAGUUGGGAUCUCUGUCGUGGAGAGCACCGACGCCCAUACCAGACCUUUUGUGACGGCUAUGCGGUUGAGCAUGUAUGUUGGGACCCGAAAGAUGGUGAACUAUGCCUGAAUAGGGUGAAGCCAGAGGAAACUCUGGUGGAGGCUCGUAGCGAUUCUGACGUGCAAAUCGAUCGUCAAAUUUGGGUAUAGGGGCGAAAGACUAAUCGAACCAUCUAGUAGCUGGUUCCUGCCGAAGUUUCCCUCAGGAUAGCAGAAACUCAUUUCAGAUUUAUGUGGUAAAGCGAAUGAUUAGAGGCCUUGGGGUUGAUAUACAACCUUAACCUAUUCUCAAACUUUAAAUAUGUAAGAACGAGCCGUCACUUGAUUGGACCGCUCGGCGAUUGAGAGUUUCUAGUGGGCCAUUUUUGGUAAGCAGAACUGGGCGAG